UUUAAUUUUUAAUUCUUCGUUUUAUUCAAAUUAUUUUUGCGAUUGAUAUUUUUGUUUUUAUUAGAUGAUAAAUCAUAAAUAGUACUUUAUAUGUGACUAUUUUUUUUAAUUUUUUGAAAAUUUUUUUAAAUAAGACGGAUGGUCGAACGUUGGACACAGAAAC
Molecule: microRNA precursor, 163 nt
Filed under: Oryza brachyantha (malo sina)
Lineage: Eukaryota; Viridiplantae; Streptophyta; Magnoliopsida; Poales; Poaceae
Description: MIR812 microRNA precursor family
Rfam family: MIR812 microRNA precursor family
Source: Rfam by way of RNAcentral